This is a non-coding RNA of Odocoileus virginianus texanus, 590 nucleotides long. The record is from RefSeq and is a predicted model, not a curated record. Lineage: Eukaryota; Metazoa; Chordata; Mammalia; Artiodactyla; Cervidae.
UCCAGGCCUCCCAGCGGCUCCGGAUGAGCCCGCGGCGAGACUGCAGUUGCAGCCAAACGUCUCUUCCGCCCAAUCCUGCUUCCUUCCCUUUCCUUCCAAGAGUGUUCCCUCCUCAGCGCUCUCCGCCCACCUCCCUCUCAGACUUAGCUGCCACAGCCCUGAUAGGUAACCGACACCGGAAGACACGGUUGCGCUCUUCCGCUUUCCAAGCAAUGAGACGCUUUCAUGAAGCCUAGUGACCUAAAGUGGCCUACGGUGAAGAGUGGGCCGUUCCUGAAAAGGAACUGAUCUUUUGGAGUAACACAUUGAUGUCUGAAUGAAACAUGGAAUUAUUUUCUACUGGUGCUCUGGUAAGAAGAUUGAAAAUAUCUAAUCAACUUCCAUCAGCUUACUCGAGCCUCUCCCGUAUCAGAGAACUGGAGUUCCUGUUCUCUGUCCGGUUAAAUGAACUACCCUAACAAUGAUCUACCGCAGAGGAUAUGGUUCUAGGAUGAAUUAUCUUCUUUCCUGCCCUCUCUAAUUAUGUGUAAUUACACGUGGUGUCUUCAUGUGUCUGGAAAAUAAAAACUUAGAAUUUAGCGUCCAGAUUU